GUACCAUCUGUUGUCAUUUUUCUUGACUGCCCAGAGGUUGUGGUUAACCUAAAUCCAGCUGGUAAUGUUUCUGAGGACCCAGGCAUCAUGCUGAUUCCAUGUACUUCACGAGGAGGAAACUGCCUUCUCCAGGUUGAUCCACGUCUGAAGUUCUUGUCAUCACUCUGCCAGUACAGUUUUAAGAUCUCUUUUGAAUAACAGGUGGACUUACUUCAUCCAGUCGCCUUUCAGUUCCCAGGGCCAAGAGGUUAUUGUAUUCCCUUUCAAGAAUCUGCCUUGCCUGUUGACGUCAAAUUACAGUUACCAUCACCGAAAUCACAUUUUAUUUUAAAAAUCAUGUAGCUUAUAUUUAUCUGAUAAUGUAUUAUAAACCAUACUUUAUUUAUGGGUUUUGAAGUUUUU
Molecule: long non-coding RNA, 402 nt
Filed under: Pan troglodytes (chimpanzee)
Lineage: Eukaryota; Metazoa; Chordata; Mammalia; Primates; Hominidae
Description: long non-coding RNA NONPTRT003593
Source: RNAcentral